This 97-nucleotide small nuclear RNA is filed under the name Rhinolophus ferrumequinum (greater horseshoe bat). Lineage: Eukaryota; Metazoa; Chordata; Mammalia; Chiroptera; Rhinolophidae. The record is from RNAcentral.
GAGGUAACAGAAACACAUAUACUAAAAUUGGAAUGAAAGAUUAGCAUGGCCCCUGCACAAGAAUGACACAUAAAUUUGUGAAGUGUUCCGUAUUUUU